GGCCGUGUAGCUCAAUGGCAGAGCGUCUGACUACGAUUGACGACAAGUUGAUUUCAUGUAAUCAGAAGGUCGCAGGUUCGACCCCUGUCUCGGUCA
RNAcentral lists this transfer RNA (96 nucleotides) under Metarhizium acridum. Its description in RNAcentral is "tRNA-Arg". It matches the Rfam family "tRNA". From Rfam's summary of the family: Transfer RNA (tRNA) molecules are approximately 80 nucleotides in length. Their secondary structure includes four short double-helical elements and three loops (D, anti-codon, and T loops). Further hydrogen bonds mediate the characteristic L-shaped molecular structure. tRNAs have two regions of fundamental functional importance: the anti-codon, which is responsible for specific mRNA codon recognition, and the 3' end, to which the tRNAs corresponding amino acid is attached (by aminoacyl-tRNA synthetases). tRNAs cope with the degeneracy of the genetic code in two manners: having more than one tRNA (with a specific anti-codon) for a particular amino acid; and 'wobble' base-pairing, i.e. permitting non-standard base-pairing at the 3rd anti-codon position. Lineage: Eukaryota; Fungi; Ascomycota; Sordariomycetes; Hypocreales; Clavicipitaceae. RNAcentral also lists the same sequence under 1 other name. The record is from RNAcentral.